This 498-nucleotide ribosomal RNA is filed under the name uncultured bacterium. Its description in RNAcentral is "bacterial SSU rRNA". It matches the Rfam family "Bacterial small subunit ribosomal RNA", at positions 899 to 1397 of the family's 1533-position model. The record is from RNAcentral.
ACUCAAAUGAAUAGACGGGGGCCCGCACAAGCGGAGGAACAUGUGGUUUAAUUCGAUGAUACGCGAGGAACCUUACCCGGGCUCGAACGGCAGAUGUAUUUGGUGGAGACAUCAAAGUCCGCAAGGACAUCUGUCGAGGUGCUGCAUGGUUGUCGUCAGCUCGUGCCGUGAGGUGUCGGCUUAAGUGCCAUAACGAGCGCAACCCUUACCGUUAGUUACCAUCAGGUUAUGCUGGGGACUCUAGCGGGACUGCCACCGUAAGGUGUGAGGAAGGUGGGGAUGACGUCAAAUCAGCACGGCCCUUACGUCCGGGGCUACACACGUGUUACAAUGGGGGGUACAAAGGGCAGCUACCUGGUGACAGGAUGCUAAUCUCCAAAACCCCUCCCAGUUCGGAUCGGAGUCUGCAACCCGACUCCGUGAAGCUGGAUUCGCUAGUAAUCGCGCAUCAGCCAUGGCGCGGUGAAUACGUUCCCGGGCCUUGUACACACCGCCCGU